GCCCCUCUAGUUCAGUGGUUUAACCCACCGCUGAGCCGGUCACUUCAGUUCCGAAGUGGUCGAGGGUUCGAACCCUGAGGGGCA
Molecule: non-coding RNA, 84 nt
Organism: Mycena filopes
Lineage: Eukaryota; Fungi; Basidiomycota; Agaricomycetes; Agaricales; Mycenaceae
Source: the annotation of a GenBank genome assembly